This 550-nucleotide ribosomal RNA is filed under the name Russula grisea. Its description in RNAcentral is "mitochondrial SSU rRNA". It matches the Rfam family "Bacterial small subunit ribosomal RNA", at positions 359 to 952 of the family's 1533-position model. Lineage: Eukaryota; Fungi; Basidiomycota; Agaricomycetes; Russulales; Russulaceae. The record is from RNAcentral.
GAAUAUUAGUCAAUGCUCGAAAGAGUGAACUAGCUAACUGAAAUCAAUUAAAAAAAUUGAUAACAUAAGGGAAAAUAAUGAUAUUACCUUAUUAUUAGUGUCGUCCAAAACUGGUGCCAGAAGACUCGGUAAGGCCAGAGACACAAACGUUAAUCGUCUUAAUCAGGCGUAAAGGGUUUGUAGGCGGCUUUUAAUUUACUUAUAUAUAUUAUAAAAUAAGUUAAAAUAAAAGCUAGAAUCAAAUAGAGGAUAUAUCAAAUAAUGCUUAGAGUAGGUCUGAUAUCCUUAGAUACUGAGUAGAAUAUUAAAGGCGAAAGCUUUUUUCCAUAAAUGAUUGACGCUCAGAAACGAAAGUGAGGAUAGGAAAUAGGAUUAGAUACCCAAAAUACCCCUCUCUGUCAACGAUGAAUGGUAAUUAUUAAUAAUAAAUUUAUUAUUAAUGGUAAUGUUAACACGAUAACCAUUCCGCCUUGUGAGUACAACUGCAAAGUUGAAAACAAAAAAAUUAGUCGGUUUCGGAGCAAACGAAGUGAAGCAUGUUAUUUAAUUC